CCUACGGGGGGCAGCAGUGGGGAAUAUUGGACAAUGGGGGCAACCCUGAUCCAGCCAUGCCGCGUGUGUGAAGAAGGCCCUCGGGUUGUAAAGCACUUUCAGUGAGGAAGAACGCCUGGUGGUUAAUACCCAUCAGGAAAGACAUCACUCACAGAAGAAGCACCGGCUAACUCCGUGCCAGCAGCCGCGGUAAUACGGAGGGUGCGAGCGUUAAUCGGAAUUACUGGGCGUAAAGCGCGCGUAGGUGGCUUGAUAAGCCGGUUGUGAAAGCCCCGGGCUCAACCUGGGAACGGCAUCCGGAACUGUCAAGCUAGAGUGCAGGAGAGGAAGGUAGAAGUCCCGGUGUAGCGGUGAAAUGCGUAGAGAUCGGGAGGAAUACCAGUGGCGAAGGCGGCCUUCUGGACUGACACUGACACUGAGGUGCGAAAGCGUGGGUAGCAAACAGGAUUAGAUACCCCAGUAGUC
Molecule: ribosomal RNA, 465 nt
Filed under: Vreelandella stevensii
Lineage: Bacteria; Pseudomonadati; Pseudomonadota; Gammaproteobacteria; Oceanospirillales; Halomonadaceae
Description: partial 16S ribosomal RNA
Rfam family: Bacterial small subunit ribosomal RNA
Source: RNAcentral